UCCAAUUUUUAUGCCACCCUGAACAAGCUGGAUCUCGUCUGAUCUCAGAAGCUAAGCAGGGUCGGGCCUGGUUAGUACUUGAAUGGGAGACCGCCUAGGAAGACCAGGUGCUGUAGGUG
Molecule: ribosomal RNA, 119 nt
Filed under: Pteropus alecto (black flying fox)
Lineage: Eukaryota; Metazoa; Chordata; Mammalia; Chiroptera; Pteropodidae
Also listed under: 1 other name
Source: RNAcentral